Molecule: ribosomal RNA, 440 nt
Filed under: uncultured bacterium
Lineage: Bacteria
Description: partial 16S ribosomal RNA
Rfam family: Bacterial small subunit ribosomal RNA
Source: RNAcentral
CCUACGGGAGGCAGCAGUGAGGAAUAUUGGUCAAUGGCCGGAAGGCUGAACCAGCCAAGCCGCGUGAACGAGACGCCCUUCGGGGUGUAAAGUUCUGUCAGUGGGGACGAAAAAUGACGGUACCCACAGAGGAAGCACCGGCUAACUCCGUGCCAGCAGCCGCGGUAAUACGGAGGGUGCAAGCGUUGUCCGGAAUCAUUGGGCGUAAAGAGUUCGUAGGCGGCAUGUAAAGUCAGGUGUUAAAGGCGCAGGCUCAACCUGUGUAUGGCACUUGAUACUUGCAAGCUGGAAUGCGGUAGAGGUAAAGGGAAUUCCUGGUGUAGCGGUGAAAUGCUUAGAUAUCAGGAGGAACAUCGGUGGCGUAAGCGCUUUACUGGGCCGUAAUUGACGCUGAGGAACGAAAGCCAGGGUAGCAAAUGGGAUUAGAUACCCGGGUAGUC